GACCCUUUAGUUCAACUGGAUAGAAUAGGAGCCUCCUAAGCUCUAGAUCUGGGUUCGAGUCCCGGAGGGGUCACCA
This 76-nucleotide transfer RNA is filed under the name Balneolaceae bacterium. RNAcentral describes it as "tRNA-Arg". It matches the Rfam family "tRNA". From Rfam's summary of the family: Transfer RNA (tRNA) molecules are approximately 80 nucleotides in length. RNAcentral also lists the same sequence under 1 other name. The record is from RNAcentral. Lineage: Bacteria; Pseudomonadati; Balneolota; Balneolia; Balneolales; Balneolaceae.